Molecule: ribosomal RNA, 497 nt
Filed under: uncultured bacterium
Lineage: Bacteria
Description: partial 16S ribosomal RNA
Rfam family: Bacterial small subunit ribosomal RNA
Source: RNAcentral
GGUGAACGCUGGCGGCGUGCCUAAUACAUGCAAGUCGAGCGACCAGACGAGGAGCUUGCGCCCCUGACGGUAGCGGCGGACGGGCGAGUAACGCGUGCAUCGCCUACCUAUAAUUCUGGGAUGACAACGGGAAGCCGGUUCCAAUAACGGAUCAUAUAUUCUACCGCUUGGUUCAAUAGUGAAACACGGCUUUGCUGUUUGUUUUAGAUGGUUCCGCGCCGCAUUAGCUAGUUGGUAAGGUACCGGCUUACCAAGGCAACGAUGCGUCGCUGACCUGAGAGGGUGAUCGGCCACACUGGAACUGAGACACGGUCCAGACUCCUACGGGAGGCAGCAGUAGGGAAUCUUCCGCAAUGGGCGAAAGCCUGACGGAGCAACGCCGCGUGAGUGAUGAAGGUCUUCGGAUCGUAAAGCUCUGUUGUUGGGGAAGAACAAAUGUGUGAGAAACUAUGGACGUCUUGACGGUACCUAAUCAGAAAGCCACGGCUAACUUCGUG